UACGGGAGGCAGCAGUGGGGAAUUUUGGACAAUGGGCGAAAGCCUGAUCCAGCAAUGCCGCGUGUGUGAAGAAGGCCUUCGGGUUGUAAAGCACUUUUGUCCGGAAAGAAAUCCUUGGCUCUAAUACAGUCGGGGGAUGACGGUACCGGAAGAAUAAGCACCGUGCUANUUACGUGCCAGCAGCCGCGGUAAUACGUAGGGUGCGAGCGUUAAUCGGAAUUACUGGGCGUAAAGCGUGCGCAGGCGGUUUGCUAAGACCGAUGUGAAAUCCCCGGGCUCAACCUGGGAACUGCAUUGGUGACUGGCAGGCUAGAGUAUGGCAGAGGGGGGUAGAAUUCCACGUGUAGCAGUGAAAUGCGUAGAGAUGUGGAGGAAUCCCGAUGGCGAAGGCAGCCCCCUGGGCCAAUGCUGACGCUCAUGCNCGAAAGCGUGGGGAGGCAAUACAGGAUUANAUACCCUGGUAGUCCACGCCNUAAACGAUGUCAACUAGUUGUNGGGGA
Molecule: ribosomal RNA, 500 nt
Filed under: uncultured bacterium
Lineage: Bacteria
Description: bacterial SSU rRNA
Rfam family: Bacterial small subunit ribosomal RNA
Source: RNAcentral